GGGGGGUGCAAGCGUUGUUCGGAAUUAUUGGGCGUAAAGCGCGUGUAGGCGGUUUGUUAAGUCUGUUGUGAAAGCCCUGGGCUCAACCCAGGAUGUGCACUGGAUACUGGCAGACUUGAAUACGGGAGAGGGUAGUGGAAUUCCUGGUGUAGGAGUGAAAUCCGUAGAUAUCAGGAGGAACACCGGUGGCGAAGGCGGCUGCCUGGACCGAUAUUGACGCUGAGACGCGAAAGCGUGGGUAGCAAACAGGAUUAGAUACCCUGGUAGUCCACGCCGUAAACGAUGAGAACUAGGUGUUGCGGGUAUUGACCCCUGCAGUGCCGCAGCUAACGCAUUAAGUUCUCCGCCUGGGAAGUACGGUCGCAAGACUA
This 371-nucleotide ribosomal RNA is filed under the name uncultured bacterium. Its description in RNAcentral is "bacterial SSU rRNA". It matches the Rfam family "Bacterial small subunit ribosomal RNA", at positions 527 to 896 of the family's 1533-position model. The record is from RNAcentral.